AGUGUCGUAUUUAAUAAAUCAUGUUUCCAAGUGCUUUUAUGCCAAGGUACGAGUUCCCUAAGGAAGUAUUAUGUCGUACUUUACGUACUCCGACUUCUACGUACGUCUGCUGUAUUUUGGUUCACAACAAGUUUUGUUUUGGAUUUAAAAACUUCUUUAAAAUGGCUCCAUAUACGGGGUUCGGCAAAUCCUCAACAAAUCGAAACCGUUCUCAAUUUCCUGGACGAACAUAGAGAUUUAGCUCGCGGGAGAUUGAAUAGUUGAACCCAGCCAGGAAGAUAACCUGAGAGUCCAGCUGUAAAAGCUGCCUAAGUACCACCACCAUUGACACAAAAAUGCCGACUUUCACACCUUCCUCUCGACAUACACACUCUACAAGGAGACUGCCUACUACUAGGAGAUUACAGAGGAUGUGCCAGCACAGGUGUAAGAAGCAGAUUGUAUCAAUAUGAAGAGGAGCGUGCACAGAGAGAGACGGUGCAAAACGCAGAGCUUGCAGGCAUCAGGGGCGAAUUGGCAGGCAUCAGUCCUACCCUGUUGCAGCUGCAUAACACAAUAAGGGAAUAUGUGGAUAGGAAUUAAGAUUUUGUUAGUGUUUUGUUAGUCAUUAAUUGUGUUUAAUAUUUCUUUGUUAUUAAUUUGUAAUGUUUAAACAGGGUAAUAGUAAAUAAAACUUUAAGCAUA
Helicoverpa zea (corn earworm) is the source of this 684-nucleotide long non-coding RNA. RefSeq lists it as uncharacterized. The record is from RefSeq and is a predicted model, not a curated record. The transcript has 3 exons. Lineage: Eukaryota; Metazoa; Arthropoda; Insecta; Lepidoptera; Noctuidae.